Molecule: ribosomal RNA, 1281 nt
Filed under: uncultured Ralstonia sp.
Lineage: Bacteria; Pseudomonadati; Pseudomonadota; Betaproteobacteria; Burkholderiales; Burkholderiaceae
Description: bacterial SSU rRNA
Rfam family: Bacterial small subunit ribosomal RNA
Source: RNAcentral
GCAGUCGAACGGCAGCAUGAUCUAGCUUGCUAGAUUGAUGGCGAGUGGCGAACGGGUGAGUAAUACAUCGGAACGUGCCCUGUAGUGGGGGAUAACUAGUCGAAAGAUUAGCUAAUACCGCAUACGACCUGAGGGUGAAAGUGGGGGACCGCAAGGCCUCAUGCUAUAGGAGCGGCCGAUGUCUGAUUAGCUAGUUGGUGAGGUAAAGGCUCACCAAGGCGACGAUCAGUAGCUGGUCUGAGAGGACGAUCAGCCACACUGGGACUGAGACACGGCCCAGACUCCUACGGGAGGCAGCAGUGGGGAAUUUUGGACAAUGGGGGCAACCCUGAUCCAGCAAUGCCGCGUGUGUGAAGAAGGCCUUCGGGUUGUAAAGCACUUUUGUCCGGAAAGAAAUCGCACUUACUAAUAUUAGGUGUGGAUGACGGUACCGGAAGAAUAAGGACCGGCUAACUACGUGCCAGCAGCCGCGGUAAUACGUAGGGUCCAAGCGUUAAUCGGAAUUACUGGGCGUAAAGCGUGCGCAGGCGGUUGUGCAAGACCGAUGUGAAAUCCCCGGGCUUAACCUGGGAAUUGCAUUGGUGACUGCACGGCUAGAGUGUGUCAGAGGGGGGUAGAAUUCCACGUGUAGCAGUGAAAUGCGUAGAGAUGUGGAGGAAUACCGAUGGCGAAGGCAGCCCCCUGGGAUAACACUGACGCUCAUGCACGAAAGCGUGGGGAGCAAACAGGAUUAGAUACCCUGGUAGUCCACGCCCUAAACGAUGUCAACUAGUUGUUGGGGAUUCAUUUCCUUAGUAACGUAGCUAACGCGUGAAGUUGACCGCCUGGGGAGUACGGUCGCAAGAUUAAAACUCAAAGGAAUUGACGGGGACCCGCACAAGCGGUGGAUGAUGUGGAUUAAUUCGAUGCAACGCGAAAAACCUUACCUACCCUUGACAUGCCACUAACGAAGCAGAGAUGCAUUAGGUGCUCGAAAGAGAAAGUGGACACAGGUGCUGCAUGGCUGUCGUCAGCUCGUGUCGUGAGAUGUUGGGUUAAGUCCCGCAACGAGCGCAACCCUUGUCUCUAGUUGCUACGAAAGGGCACUCUAGAGAGACUGCCGGUGACAAACCGGAGGAAGGUGGGGAUGACGUCAAGUCCUCAUGGCCCUUAUGGGUAGGGCUUCACACGUCAUACAAUGGUGCAUACAGAGGGUUGCCAAGCCGCGAGGUGGAGCUAAUCCCAGAAAAUGCAUCGUAGUCCGGAUCGUAGUCUGCAACUCGACUACGGAAGCUGGAAUCG